UACGGAGGGUGCGAGCGUUAAUCGGAAUAACUGGGCGUAAAGGGCACGCAGGCGGGUAUUUAAGUGAGGUGUGAAAUCCUCGGGCUUAACCUGGUAAUAGCAUUUCAGACUGGGAGUCUAGAGUACUUUAGGGAGGGGUAGAAUUCCACGUGUAGCGGUGAAAUGCGUAGAGAUGUGGAGGAAUACCGAUGGCGAAGGCAGCCCGUUGGGCAUGUACUGACGCUCAGGUGCGAAAGCGUGGGGAGCAAACGGG
Molecule: ribosomal RNA, 253 nt
Filed under: uncultured bacterium
Lineage: Bacteria
Description: partial 16S ribosomal RNA
Rfam family: Bacterial small subunit ribosomal RNA
Source: RNAcentral